GAGAGAGAGAGAGCAAGAGAAUGAGGCAGAGAGAGAGAGCAAACAAUGUCAUUCCAUUCACCAGGCAAUGCUGCAGUCAACUUUACAUCACAGGAGGUGAAGACUCAGCCGCUUGUGCAUCCUGAGAAGAGCCGAGAAGAGAAGACGAGAGCUUGAUCCUUCCUGCAGAAGCUGUAGAGCAGAGGGCAUUCUGCAGAGCAAGAACAUGCCUUGACUUGUACCGGCUUGUCAGGAGGGAGUUGGGGCUUGUGGUCAGCACCAAUAGCUGAGUGUUUUCAUCCAACUGACCAGUGGAAGACAACAACGCCAUACAGACUAUGUUGGCUUUGGAAUGGCUGAAAAUUGUAAUAGAAUGAAUUGAUAAAGAGCUAAUACUCAGACAAGUCUUCCUUGACUCUGGACGUGCCCUCACUGGAAGUUCCCUGACCUCACCACAGCUGAUUGGUUUUUCUGAUGACACGACCCCUGAGACAAAAGAUGAUCAAGUCUGAGGAAUGAAAUGACUGCUGUACUAUAGACAGAGUGACAGAACAGUGGGAGAAAGAGAAGGAGAAUGGAACAUUGCAGAGGCAAAACAGAAUGGUUGUCACAACCAAGUGCUUCUUUCACAGAAACUUAUCCUGAUAUCCGGGGGACGAGGAGAGAUUCAACGUAAGCUCAGCUGUGAGAAGAAUUUUCAUCUACUGGCAUUUCUUGGAAACCGAAAGCAGGACAAAGAGUUAUUUGCAAAGGGGAAAUCUAACUCUGUCACCGGUUGUCAUAGAAGGGACUGGGGACAUUCCAUUGGCAGGGUAUUAAAGUGUCCUGACUGAGCCACCCUGCAGGAGAUGGGAGAGUCAUAUAUGAGAAGCCUUAACGGUCUCCGACAGAUCGUUUGGAUGAUGUUGAAAGAUGCUGAAGUGAUGAAAGAAGAGGAGAAAACGAGGGAUGGGGGGGGCGCUGCUGUGAGUGGUUCUUUGGCAGUGUCUUAGCUGGUUGUUGUGUGGAGUGAGAACGAAGCAAUCAGCAAGUAUACUGCCGCAGAAACUCGUCACAUUGGGAGGCCCAUCCAUCCGACCUCGCUCACGCACUCACCCGCCCACCCGUGUAUUCAAAGGCUGGAGAGAGAGACAGAUGGAGAGAGGUGAAACCUCUGUCUGUUCAUAUUAUCAGCUCUAGAAACAGAGCUUCUCCUCUGGCAUCAUUCAUUCCACUUCAUCUAAUUGUGAGUGUCAGCCUUUGUUUUUGUCACCACUCGUUGAAUCCUAAAGGGAUUGUUUACCCAAAAAUUUAAAUUCAUGUUUUCAAAAGACUUGCUUUCUUCAGUGGAACACAAAAGGAGAUAUUUAGGCAGAUUGACAGCCUCAGUCACCAUUCACUUUCAUUCUAGGGAAAAGAGAUUAAAUGAAAGUUAAUGUUAACUGAGAGUGUAAUUCUGCCUCCUUUUGUUUUCAACUGGAUGAUGAUGGAACAAAUGAUGACAGAAUUUUGAUUUUAGGGUGAACUAUCCCUUUAACAGCUGACUGAUUUCAUGAAUUUGAAAGAUUGAUUUAUAUUUUCAUGUUUUAUUGUCAUGGUUUAGUUCUUUUUAAGCCAAAUGCAAAGCUGGUGUUUUCAAAGUGUUUUUUUUUUUUUUUUUUUUUUUUUCAUUCUGUUUUUCUGUUGAUCGGGGACAAUUUAGUCACCUUUUAUUAUGAGUAUCAGCUGACAAUUUUUUGCUGUUUCAAUAUUGCCAUGAUGUAGUGUGUCUUGUUUAUAUUUGGCCUAUACUUAGCUUGCGGUCUAAUGACAUAUUCAAGUUGUGUUGUGAUGCAUUCAUCAUGAAGUCUGCUAAUGGACCAAAACAUACAGUAUAUUAUCAUCAUAAUGACAAAAAACAUCUAAUACAGAAAGUAGUCGACUACUCCCAGUUUGAACAUUUGUUUAUAGAAUGCUAUAUGAAUUAUUCAUCUAUACAUUUCAUAUUGUGUUUUAAUGUGACUGUGUUUUAAUACUAAUUUCCUUUAUUUAUUUAAUAAUAAUUCUAUGAAUGAAUUUUGCCUAAAUAAUAAUAAUAAAAAUAGUAGAGUUUUAAAAGGUCAUCAUUAUUGUUAUUUCUCUAUUUGUACCAUAUGUUUAGUAGUAUGUUUAAAGCAAUCUGUGUGUGCUGUGUGUAUUAAAGUCAAGUUUCAUUUACAGAGAGCUGCAUUAGUGUUGAGUUUUGAUUGUGAUCAUCAAACAGCAAAGUUUUUGAAGGUGAAUGAAAUCACCUAUCCUUAAAGCUAAUGUGUGUACAUUUUUUGAUGUUUAAAUACUUUCUCCUAUUCCAUUUUAUGCAGAAACAAAUAUAAGUAAACCAUUAAUAUGUUGAUUUCCUUGACACUUUCAGCAUUCCAUUUUUAUUUAUUUAUCUAUUUAUUUAUUUAUUUUUAUUUAUUUUUUGAGCAACCUGACCAGCCCAACACAAACCAAUGGUGUGAGUUUGUGGCAGGACUAUCUGUUAGUUUGACAAAUGGCAGAUGAAGGGUGCAUUCAGAAAGCUGCUUGAAAACAGUGUUUAUGUUUGUAAUUCUGUUUGGUGCCACUAGUGGAGCAAAAAUUACACACUUUAGCUUUAACUCACUUCCAAAUCUUAUGUAAUCAAAUCAGUGGGCCAAUAAGUUUGAACCUGUCUGGAAAGCAGAAAAUCAAAUCAAUUUAGUAAGCUAUUUCACAAUAGAUUAAAGCACUUGCUCUGAAAGUGUGAUUAUUACACAUUGUGUAGCCUUUAUAAAUAUUACAUACAUUAAUGUUACUAUAAGGUAUAAGUAUUUUAUGUCAAACAUCAUGUAUACACUAUAUGUCUGUACAUCGCAUGCUGUACAAAACGCAACAAUAGCAAAUUAAUCUAAAUAUAGUAUGGAUAACCGCAGACAUUAAGCUCCUCUUAAUGCCACAGCAGACACUGUUAAUCACAUUUUUCAUCCACAAAGGUCAUUGCAGUUAUGCAGCAGAAACAUUUCACAUUUUGUCAGUUGUGUGAUUAACACCUCAGAUAUAGUCAGAAAGUAUUUUGUAUUUUAAUGUAACUUAUCUGUGAGCCUGGUUUGUGUUAUGUCAGUGGCUCAGGAGUUGCACAUCUGUGUUAACAAGACCAAAACUGAACUUGCCUUGUUUACCAGACCUCCGGAUCCUCACAGGCAUUCACAAUUCAAAUGACAAAACCCAUGUUUUUUUUGUUUUUUUAUCAGUGGUACCUUGCUGUAAUUGGUGUAUAUGUACUUAAAUCUACUCUACACUGGAUUACGUAGCAUAUAACACCAUAUACCAGUCAUAGAGCACAUUUAAACCAUCCGCCAAAGGUCUUAUCAUUUUUGUUUACUCUUCACAACUUUUAGGCUGUAUCUUCACACCUUGCAGAAAUAAAUUUAAAUUUGAUCAAUAAUCCAUGCCUGGGUGAGACUGGGGGAUCUUCUCAAGCAUAUGGUAUAAUAGGAUGUCUGACAGGUUAAAGUGUCAUUUUUACCUAAAAAUAAAAAAUCUGUCAUCGUGUAUUCACCCUCAUGUUGUUCCGAAACAAUAUACUUUUCUCUUCCCUGCAACGCAAAAUGAAAUGUUAGGCAGAAUGUUAGAGGCUGACAGCCUCAGUCACCAUUUACUUGUAUGGAGAGAAAAAAUAGUGCAGCCUCAACAUUCUUUAAACUGAUUGUAUUUUGUUCCACAGAAGAAAGUGAAACAGGUUUAAAACAACAUAAGAAUAAAUUACAACAGAAUUUUAAUUUUUUGGGGUAAUCUAUCUCUUCAAGAGCAUAGAUCCAAAAAAAAAAAAAAAAUGCCACCUUUUGUAUUGUAACUCUUAUAUAGAGUAAUGAGACUCUUCAGGAAUGCAAUGUGCAUGAGAAUCUCUCUGCAUAACCUGAACGUACAGCUCACAAAGGUGCUGAGAAGAAAACUACGGACUGUCUUUAACAGAGGAACAAGGGAAAGCAUUGAUUUUCUUUAUCUCUUCUCCACUUUCUUCCUCUCUCCCUGAAAUUAAAAGAUGUACCACACUGGAACAGAAUGCUGCAGUUUUAUGUGAUCUUAGGCACAGUAUUGCUCCUAUGGUGACAGUGUGAUAAAAGGAGUUACAUUUCCCUAAAAUUAGUCUUUGCCUGAAAGAUGGAUAAAAAAAAUCUCCUCACUAGAUACUGAAAUGUAGGCGAUUUUUUUUCUUUUUCUCAUUUUUUAUCUCAUUCCAAAAAUGUCAGCAAAACAUCUCCAAAAGCUACAAACAUAUUGAGGUUAAGGCAGACACAUUAUUACAGUUUUUCUCUAUCGCUUUGGCUCAAUUCUCGAAUGAGAAUAAUUUUUUUCUAAACAAUAAGUUCAAAUCUCUGAACAGUUAUUUUCUUGUUCACACCAGAUUUGAAUUUCUUAUUCAUUUAAGCAAAUUGCACGUGUUUUGGCACAUGUGUGCAAAAGAGUAAGUACAAUUGUCUACAUUUUGCACAAUAACUAAAUGCACAUGGCUUGCUGAUCAAAACUGAUGAGAUGAUACUCUUUAUAACCUCUAAACAUUCUUUCAUCGUGUGAGCAUCACAUGCAAAAUGAUCUAUUCAUUUAUCAAAAUCUGUCAGACAUACAUGUAUAUUCCAUAAAAAUCUAUGACAUGGAAUGUUUGUGAUGUCUGCUAAAUCUCUGGCCAGACCAACAAGAGCGACAUGAUGUCCACCAAGAAGAUGGGAACUUGUAGUGUUACGUACUGUGAGAAGGUACAAUUUUUUUUUUUUUUUUGUUGUUGUUGUUUUUUUUACAGAACUACUGCAGAUUUUUUGUAUGGAUGUCAUUUUGUGGCAAUUUUCUGUUCACUAUAUAUGACUUUACAUGAAGAAAUGUGUAAAA
Myxocyprinus asiaticus (Chinese sucker) is the source of this 4821-nucleotide long non-coding RNA. RefSeq lists it as uncharacterized. The transcript is spliced from 5 exons. The record is from RefSeq and is a predicted model, not a curated record. Lineage: Eukaryota; Metazoa; Chordata; Actinopteri; Cypriniformes; Catostomidae.